This 507-nucleotide ribosomal RNA is filed under the name uncultured bacterium. RNAcentral's name for it is "bacterial SSU rRNA". It matches the Rfam family "Bacterial small subunit ribosomal RNA", at positions 35 to 524 of the family's 1533-position model. The record is from RNAcentral.
CGAGCUGGCGGCAUGCCUAUCAUGCAAGUCGAGCGGAAUGACGAGAGCUUGCUCUCUGAUUUUAGCGGCGGACGGGUGAGUAACACGUGGGCAACCUGCCCUACAGAUGGGGAUAACUCCGGGAAACCGGGGCUAAUACCGAAUAGUCAGUUUGUCCGCAUGGACAAACUCUGAAAGACGGUUUCGGCUGUCACUGUAGGAUGGGCCCGCGGCGCAUUAGCUAGUUGGUGGGGUAAUGGCCUACCAAGGCAACGAUGCGUAGCCGACCUGAGAGGGUGAUCGGCCACACUGGGACUGAGACACGGCCCAGACUCCUACGGGAGGCAGCAGUAGGGAAUCUUCCACAAUGGACGAAAGUCUGAUGGAGCAAUGCCGCGUGAGCGAAGAAGGUUUUCGGAUCGUAAAGCUCUGUUGUAAGGGAAGAACACGUACGGGAGUAACUGCCCGUGCCAUGACGGUACCUUAUUAGAAAGCCACGGCUAACUACGUGCCAGCAGCCGCGGUAAU